Molecule: ribosomal RNA, 253 nt
Filed under: uncultured bacterium
Lineage: Bacteria
Description: partial 16S ribosomal RNA
Rfam family: Bacterial small subunit ribosomal RNA
Source: RNAcentral
UACGGGGGGGGCAAGCGUUGUUCGGAAUUACUGGGCGUAAAGGGCGUGUAGGCGGUCUGUUAAGUCUGGCGUGAAGGCUCUCGGCUAAACCGGGAGAGGUCGUUGGAUACUGGCAGACUAGAGGACGGUAGAGGCGUGUGGAAUUCCGGGUGUAGUGGUGAAAUGCGUAGAGAUCCGGAGGAACACCAGUGGCGAAGGCGACACGCUGGGCCGUACCUGACGCUAAAGCGCGACAGCAUGGGGAGCAAACGGG